RNAcentral lists this ribosomal RNA (301 nucleotides) under uncultured bacterium. RNAcentral's name for it is "partial 16S ribosomal RNA". It matches the Rfam family "Bacterial small subunit ribosomal RNA", at positions 510 to 808 of the family's 1533-position model. The record is from RNAcentral.
AGUAGCCGCGGUAAUACGUAGGUGGCAAGCGUUGUCCGGAAUUAUUGGGCGUAAAGGGCUCGCAGGCGGUUUCUUAAGUCUGAUGUGAAAGCCCCCGGCUCAACCGGGGAGGGUCAUUGGAAACUGGGAAACUUGAGUGCAGAAGAGGAGAGUGGAAUUCCACGUGUAGCGGUGAAAUGCGUAGAGAUGUGGAGGAACACCAGUGGCGAAGGCGACUCUCUGGUCUGUAACUGACGCUGAGGAGCGAAAGCGUGGGGAGCGAACAGGAUUAGAUACCCCUGUAGUCCCUGUCUCUUAUACA